CUACGGGGCGCUCCAGUGAGGAAUAUUGCACAAUGGGGGGAACCCUGAUGCAGCAACGCCGCGUGGAGGACGACGCAUUUCGGUGUGUAAACUCCUUUUAUAUGUCAAGAAAAUGACGGUAGCAUAUGAAUAAGCACCGGCUAACUCCGUGCCAGCAGCCGCGGUAAUACGGAGGGUGCAAGCGUUACUCGGAAUCACUGGGCGUAAAGGACGCGUAGGCGGGCUUGUAAGUCAGGUGUGAAAUCCUACAGCUUAACUGUAGAACUGCACUUGAAACUACGAGCCUAGAGUAUGGGAGGGGCAGAUGGAAUUAGUGGUGUAGGGGUAAAAUCCGUAGAUAUCACUAGGAAUACCUAAAGCGAAGGCGAUCUGCUGGAACAUAACUGACGCUAAGGCGUGAAAGCGUGGGGAGCAAACAGGAUUAGAUACCCCUCGUAGUC
This 440-nucleotide ribosomal RNA is filed under the name uncultured bacterium. RNAcentral describes it as "partial 16S ribosomal RNA". It matches the Rfam family "Bacterial small subunit ribosomal RNA", at positions 339 to 795 of the family's 1533-position model. The record is from RNAcentral.